Molecule: ribosomal RNA, 434 nt
Filed under: uncultured bacterium
Lineage: Bacteria
Description: bacterial SSU rRNA
Rfam family: Bacterial small subunit ribosomal RNA
Source: RNAcentral
UAAUACAUGCAAGUCGAGCGGAAACACUUCGGGUGUCGAGCGGCGGACGGGUGAGUAACGCGUGGGAACAUACCCCAGACUGAGGGAUAAGCACCAGAAAUGGUGUCUAAUACCGCAUAACCUCUACGGAGAAAAGCUUCGGCGGUUUGGGAAUGGCCUGCGUAAGAUUAGCUAGUUGGUAGGGUAAAGGCCUACCAAGGCGAUGAUCUUUAGCUGGUUUGAGAGGAUGAUCAGCCACACUGGAACUGAGACACGGUCCAGACUUCUACGGAAGGCAGCAGUAGGGAAUAUUCCACAAUGGGCGAAAGCCUGAUGGAGCAACGCCGCGUGCAGGAUGAAUGCCUUCGGGUUGUAAACUGCUUUUAUAGGUGAAGAUUUUGACGGUAACCUAAGAAUAAGGAUCGGCUAACUCCGUGCCAGCAGCCGCGGUCAUA